AUUGAACGCUGGCGGCGUGCUUAACACAUGCAAGUCGAGCGGAGCGGCGAACGGGUGAGUAACGCGUGAGUAACUGCCCCCCUCUCUGGGAUAACAGUUGGAAACGGCUGCUAAUACCGGAUAGUGGGGGAUGACUCGGGUCCUAUGGGCUUGUUGGUGGGGUAGUGGCCGACCAGGGCGACGACGGGUAGCCGACCUGAGAGGGCGACCGGCCACAUUGGGCUGAGAUACGGACCAAACUGCAACGGGAGGCAGCAGUGGAAAAUAUUGCACAAUGGGGGAAACCCUGAUGCAGCAACGCCGCGUGCGGGAUGACGGCCUUCGGGUUGUAAACCGCUUUGAGCCAUGACGCGGUAGUGGCAGAAGAAGCACCGGCUAACUACGUGCCAGCAGCCGCGGUAAUAC
Molecule: ribosomal RNA, 405 nt
Filed under: uncultured bacterium
Lineage: Bacteria
Description: partial 16S ribosomal RNA
Rfam family: Bacterial small subunit ribosomal RNA
Source: RNAcentral